AUGGGCGACUCCUCGGUGGCCCCCGCCGGCGCGCUCGUGCCGUCGGUGCCCAAGCCGGAGCACGCGCCGUCCGGGGGCGACCCGGCGGCCCAGCUCCAGGCCCUGGCGGCGGCGGCGGACGACGCGUGCGCGGGCGCCUCGCCGUCGUCGUCGCCGGAGGCGGCGGAGGGGGCGGAGGCGGAUGCAGCGGGGGACAGGGACCUGCUCUGCCCGAUCUGCAUGGGGCUCAUCAAGGACGCCUUCCUCACCGCCUGCGGCCACAGCUUCUGCUACAUGUGCAUCGUCACGCACCUCAACCACAAGAGCGACUGCCCCUGCUGCGCCAACUACCUCACCAAGGCGCAGCUCUACCCCAACUUCCUCCUCGACAAGGUCGUGAAGAAAAUGUCGGCCCGGCAAGUUGCGAAAACAGCAUCUCCCAUUGAUCAAUUCCGACAUGUUGUGCAACAGGGAAAUGACAUGACAGUUAAAGAGCUAGACAGCCUUAUGACUUUGAUUGCUGAGAAGAAGAGGCAAAUGGAACAACAAGAGUCAGAGACAAAUAUGCAAAUAUUGCUAGUCUUCUUGCACUGCCUUAGAAAGCAAAAGCUUGAAGAGUUGAAUGAGAUUCAAACUGACCUGCAGUACAUCAAAGAUGAUAUAAGCAGUGUGGAGAGACAUAGGUUAGAUCUGUAUCGAACAAAAGAAAGGUACUCCAUGAGGCUGCGCAUGCUUUUGGAUGAACCUGCUGCAUCAAAGAUGUGGCCUUCGCCUAUGGACAAACCUAGUAGUCCCUUUGUUCCCAACUCUCGGGCACCACCUAGCACAUCAUCUCCAGGGGGGUUAAGUAAUAGGAGGUUUGAUUUGAGAGCACCGGCAAGCCAUCAAGGACAUCAAAGAAGAGAUGCCCUUGCUAGCUCAGACCCUCCCAAUCCCCCUCUACAGUCGGGUAAUGUUAUUGCUCGGAAGAGGCGAGUUCAAGCGCAGUUUAACGAGCUUCAAGAAUACUAUUUGCAAAGACGGCGUACUGGAGCGCAGUCUCACAGGCAGGAGGAUGCUGUUACGAUGAAUAGAGAAGGUUAUCAUGAAGGUCUUGAAGAUUUUCAGUCUGUGCUUACAACAUUCACUCGAUAUAGUCGCUUACGUGUAAUUGCGGAACUUAGACAUGGAGAUCUGUUCCACUCAGCAAAUAUUGUAUCCAGUAUCGAAUUUGACCGUGAUGAUGAGCUAUUCGCUACUGCUGGAGUCUCGAAGCGUAUUAAAGUCUUUGAAUUUUCUACAGUUGUUAAUGAGCCAUCAGAUGUCCACUGUCCAGUUGUUGAAAUGGCUACCAGAUCUAAACUCAGCUGCCUUAGCUGGAACAAGUACUCAAAAAAUGUUAUAGCAAGUAGUGAUUAUGAAGGCAUAGUUACUGUUUGGGAUGUUCAAACCCGCCAGAGUGUAAUGGAGUAUGAAGAGCAUGAGAAAAGAGCAUGGAGUGUUGAUUUUUCACGUACAGAGCCCAAGAUGCUAGUAUCUGGUAGUGAUGAUUGCAAGGUCAAAGUGUGGUGCACAAAUCAGGAAGCAAGUGCCAUUAACAUUGAUAUGAAGGCAAAUAUUUGCUCUGUUAAAUAUAAUCCUGGAUCGAGCUACUAUGUCGCAGUCGGAUCUGCUGAUCACCAUAUUCAUUAUUUUGAUUUACGAAAUCCAAGUGCACCUCUCCAUGUUUUUGGUGGGCACAAGAAAGCUGUUUCUUAUGUGAAAUUCUUAUCAAAUAAUGAGCUUGCAUCUGCAUCGACCGAUAGCACGUUACGGUUAUGGGAUGUCAAGGACAAUUGCCCACUAAGGACUUUCAGAGGGCACAAAAAUGAGAAGAACUUCGUAGGACUAUCUGUAAAUAACGAAUAUAUUGCUUGCGGGAGUGAAACAAAUGAGGUUUUUGUUUACCACAAGGCUAUCUCAAAACCUGCUUCCAGCCAUCGGUUUCUAUCCACGGACCUGGACGACGCCGAGGAUGAUCCCGGGUCUUAUUUCAUCAGCGCUGUCUGCUGGAAGAGCGAUAGCCCUACUAUGCUAACUGCUAACAGCCAGGGGACCAUUAAAGUUCUCGUGCUCGCCCCUUGA
RNAcentral lists this ribosomal RNA (2082 nucleotides) under Triticum aestivum (bread wheat). RNAcentral's name for it is "partial small subunit ribosomal RNA". The record is from RNAcentral. Lineage: Eukaryota; Viridiplantae; Streptophyta; Magnoliopsida; Poales; Poaceae.